This 815-nucleotide long non-coding RNA is filed under the name Ananas comosus (pineapple). Its description in RNAcentral is "long non-coding RNA (ACOM_LNC038055)". Lineage: Eukaryota; Viridiplantae; Streptophyta; Magnoliopsida; Poales; Bromeliaceae. The record is from RNAcentral.
UGUCUUUUCUUUCUACCUCUUCUUUCUACUUCUCUACUUCUCAAUUCUUUAGGAGGUUCGAUCCCCUCGAAGUGAUCGGUUAUCCCUAUUGAUACGGUCGGACCGUAUCAAGGGACAUAUCUGAAAAUAUUAGGACUUUUGUAGAGAUAACUUAUAAAAAUUGAACUUUACAGAAAUAUACUUAUAAUUCACUAUAUUUACGAAGACCUAUAUGCAAUUAACCCUUUCUAUAUCUCUAUAUAUCUAUAUCUAUAUCUAUUCAUGAAUGGACGAAAGCGCAAUUGUGUCCCCAUUCCUUCUUAGCCGUACAUCUUGCCCAUCGCAUCAUAAAAAAGUUAUUGCAUGUACCCGGUUGUCCCAAUCUAUAUUUUUGCGUAUCACGUGCGAUGACUCUGCUAUUUAGGAUCCAUUUAUAUGUAUUAUUAUUAUCAUCAGUAUCGAGUCCAGCUGGGAUUCUAUCGAUUACACCAAGCGCUUAAUACUAAUGAGUUUUUCACCGUUAGAUUUAACCCCCUUUACUAUUUUCACCUGUUAGAUUAUACUUUUCAACCAACAGCUUAUUCAACCCCUAGAGGGCUCACAGCAUGCUAACUGUACAUUCCUUCAUCCAAGGGCCGAAAACCUACUAGCACCGAUAGCUUAGUGCUAUUGGUAGUAUUCCAGCCUAGUUCCAUUAUUAUCUAUAUUUAUAAAUUAAAUAUAUUCAAAAAAGAUAAACUUCAGCAAAUUACUCAUAUAAUUUAACUUAUUUUUACUUUAUCAUUAUGUGAUCAAACAAUUUCAGUUUAUCCUAUUGUGGCUUAAUUUCUGUUUUA